RNAcentral lists this ribosomal RNA (253 nucleotides) under uncultured bacterium. Its description in RNAcentral is "partial 16S ribosomal RNA". It matches the Rfam family "Bacterial small subunit ribosomal RNA", at positions 524 to 776 of the family's 1533-position model. The record is from RNAcentral.
GACGGAAGGUGCAAGCGUUGCUCGGAAUCACUGGGCGUAAAGGGUGCGUAGGCGGCCUGGUAAGUCUGGCGUGAAAGCCCAGGGCUCAGCCCUGGAAGUGCGCUAGAGACUGCGAGGCUCGAGUGCCGGAGGGGAGAGUGGAAUUCCUGGUGUAGCGGUGAAAUGCGUAGAUAUCAGGAGGAAUACCGGUGGCGAAGGCGGCUCUCUGGGACGGUACUGACGCUGAGACGCGAAAGCGUGGGGAGCGAACAGG